AGAGUUUGAUCCUGGCUCAGGAUGAACGCUGGCGGUAUGCUUAACACAUGCAAGUCAAACGGAGUGCUUCGGCACUUAGUGGCGGACGGGUGAGUAACGCGUGAGAAUCUGGCUUCGGGUUCGGGACAACAGUGGGAAACUGCUGCUAAUACCGGAUGUGCCUAAAGGUAAAAGAUUAAUUGCCCGAAGAUGAGCUCGCGUCCGAUUAGCUAGUUGGUGUGGUAAGAGCGCACCAAGGCGUUGAUCGGUAGCUGGUCUGAGAGGACGAUCAGCCACACUGGGACUGAGACACGGCCCAGACUCCUACGGGAGGCAGCAGUGGGGAAUUUUCCGCAAUGGGCGAAAGCCUGACGGAGCAAUACCGCGUGAGGGAGGAAGGCUCUUGGGUUGUAAACCUCUUUUCUCAGGGAAGAACAAAAUGACGGUACCUGAGGAAUCAGCAUCGGCUAACUCCGUGCCAGCAGCCGCGGUAAUACGGAGGAUGCAAGCGUUAUCCGGAAUGAUUGGGCGUAAAGCGUCCGCAGGUGGCUUAUCAAGUCGAUUGUCAAAGGUCCUGGCUCAACUGGGAACAGGCAGUGGAAACUGAAAAGCUAGAGUGCGGUAGGGGUAGAGGGAAUUCCCGGUGUAGCGGUGAAAUGCGUAGAGAUCGGGAAGAACACCAGUGGCGAAAGCGCUCUACUAGGCCUGCACUGACACUCAUGGACGAAAGCUAGGGGAGCGAAUGGGAUUAGAUACCCCAGUAGUCC
Molecule: ribosomal RNA, 746 nt
Filed under: uncultured cyanobacterium
Lineage: Bacteria; Bacillati; Cyanobacteriota
Description: bacterial SSU rRNA
Rfam family: Bacterial small subunit ribosomal RNA
Source: RNAcentral